Molecule: non-coding RNA, 351 nt
Organism: Megasphaera elsdenii
Lineage: Bacteria; Bacillati; Bacillota; Negativicutes; Veillonellales; Veillonellaceae
Rfam family: transfer-messenger RNA
About the family: Bacterial tmRNA, also known as 10Sa RNA or SsrA, is named for its dual tRNA and mRNA-like properties. Its role is to liberate the mRNA from a stalled ribosome. To accomplish this part of the tmRNA is used as a reading frame that ends in a translation stop signal.
Source: Rfam
GGGGAUGUAAAGGUUUCGACGUGGAUGGUUGUAUCAUGAAUAGCGAGCCGGGGUUUCAUCUGCCCGUAAAUCGGUGAACCUUUUAAAUUAAACGCAAAAGAAAACAAUUUUGCUUUAGCUGCCUAAGUGCGGCUAACGUCUCCUGCUGCUAAUCCUGCGGGCAGCUCGCAGACGUCACUUAGCGGGAUACCACAUGGCUCUGCCUGGUAGUCGUGUCGGGAAACUCACAGGCUGGAAUCGUCUAGUUUGUCCUUGUACGAAAACGGUUUAAGAUCCUAACAAGGUCUGCGCUCGGAGAAGUUCAUGGGGCGGCAUUUACGGACAGGAGUUCGACUCUCCUCAUCUCCACCA